RNAcentral lists this long non-coding RNA (1754 nucleotides) under Olea europaea subsp. europaea. Lineage: Eukaryota; Viridiplantae; Streptophyta; Magnoliopsida; Lamiales; Oleaceae. The record is from RNAcentral.
UUUCAAAUCAACCCUAAUUUUUCUUUCUCGUCUCCACCUCUCGCACGUCUGAGUCGUCUCUCAUCAAAAAAACCUGCCCAUCGUCUACUUCCGGCAACACCCAAGCUAUGCCCAUCGUCCAGGUCGACCAAGCACCUAUACUAAUGAUAUAUUUAUAACAUCAAACCUGUGCGAAUCGAAAUCCAUAGCAAAUUUCGUCUUCAACGAAACCGGAAAGUUCAAACCCAAAUUUCGGUGCGGGCGAUGCGAACCAUGGUCGUGGACCACCUUCCCUACGACUACCUCAUCAUCAUGAAGCUUUUGCACAUAUUGGUCAUCAGCAAUUUGGACUCAAUUUGGCUCUGCUCUCUAAAUGCCAUGUCUCUGCACCCUCUGUUAGUAACUGUGGCUAUGAGUUUACUUAUUCUUUCUUUCUUUUCUUUUCAUUAAUUUCAGCAAUUUCUCACCAUUUGCCAAUUUGCAACUCGUGUGAUUUUGCCAACUUGAUGCUAGGCUUUCCCAUGUACUGGCAUGUUGUCUAUUCCUGAUGGUCGGGUCCUUACACGUUUCUCUUAGUUUAGCAGAAACAUUUGGUGAUUAAACAUAUUGAGACACAGUGAGGAGAAAAAAGCUGCAGAAAAUGUCUAGAUGAAGUCAAUUCACUGCAUGUUGGAUUGUUACAUUUUGCUUAUCUCCUUGACAAAUUUCUGCACAUACACGUCGCCAAAGAAUGAGUUUACUCAAAAUUCGGGAAAGUUUCUAAACAACCCACAUCUUAAAACUUUUAAAUAUUUUUACAAUUUCAAUUAGUCUAACACAUUUUUGUAAGAUAUUCAAUUUAUGAGCAAGUGAUAUGAAAAAAUUUGUUGUUCAUGACUUCAUCUGAUGACCAGGAAUUGUGUUUAAUAUAUGAUUUAUGAAAUUGAUUAUAUGAUAUCUUUAUUAGUCGGAAUUUAGAAAUGUAUAUGAAAUGAACAUUUGUCCUUUAAAACAGGUACCCUAGAUUGCUUCUAUGAGUAGAAAAUGAUCGAGUUGUAUUGGGGAAAUUGGGAUGACGAUCUAAGAAAAUUUUGCUUUCUUGGACAACCGAGGAAAAAGCUUCCACAUAAAGACUUGUAUGCCUUUGCUAUUGUUCUAUAUCGCAUAAGCCAUAAAGCUGCUUGAGAGGUAUUGUAAUUGGGAGUUUGAUUGGGGAUGGAAAUUGAAUGUGAUAAUGUCGUCGAAGUCACAUCCUCUAGGGUGUCUAAAUUUCGUCGAAGUUGUGUAGGACAAAAUACAUUGUCUAUGGUUUGGAGAUGAUAUGGUCAUCUUUAUUUCAUUAAGUAAUGUACAAUUUUCCAUGGUGCUACGUUAAGAUCUUAGAAGUUUUUAACUAUGACUUACACCAAAAUUGAAGUAGACAAGUGGAAGAGUGUUGUGGGUUGGAGGAUAGAACAGAGAAGAUCUUGGCUUCCUUGCUGUUUAGAAGAAGUUGAAGGCAUAGACCGGACAGUGUUGAGCCAACACUACCCAGUUGACUAAUGGACUGUGCUGGGCCCUGUCUAGCCAAGUUGUGCCAGACCUGUGAGUUUUAUUGUCAUUUGAUUUUAAUAUGAAGAAAUUGUAAGAGGUUAUUUCUUGAAGAUAACUACAGAUAAUUAUCGUCAAUAACACUUGUAUAGACUAAUAUUAAUACAGCUGAACUGAGUUCUCUUACAAGUAAUUGAAGUGUUUAAAUUAAUGACUCUUAAGAUAUUCGAGUUUGUUAACGAGUUAAAUUAUAACUGUGAUGGUAC